CUUUUUCCCCUUCCUUUGCUUUUUUUUCCGUUCGUCUCGUUCCGUUGCGGUCUUCGUUUCGCCGGGGCAAGGAGCGCACGCACGUUCUGGUCGCUCUCUCUCUUCGGCGGCGGCGCGUCGGCGGAGGCCAGAGGGGAGGAGGGGGAGGGGAAGGAGGCCGGCGGCGGGCGGCCAGGUGGCGGCGGACGGGGAGGAGCUCUUCGUUCCGGCCCCGGGGGCCACGGGCCUGCGGGCGGGCAGGACGGGGGCGGCAGGCGCUGGGCCGGCGCGGCAGGAGCGGGGGUCAAGCGGGCCUAGAGCCUUCUCCUCCUCCUCCUCGCUCCAGAGAUCCCAAGGCGCCGCCAGGGCCAAGGGCGCGGGGCAGUCCAGCAAGUUGCAAACCGGUUAGAAUAGAAUAGUCCUCAGACGUAAACAGCCAUGACAGGAAUCUUGGUCUGAAGUAAACCCUGGCCUAAAGCCUACACUGUUUACGGGUGGUUCCACCGACGAAGUCUACAGUAGUCUCAUUCGUGGAGUUCACGGGGGUCGUGUAGCUCGGUGCCAAGGCGUGUUCUACUGAUGCUUAGAAGUCCGCUGCACAUACACACCCCACUUCAAUAGACACUUUCGUGACGUUCUCGACCGAGACUACGCCAUUAGUCCAGCCGACACUCCGUCCUACAGGACGAUGGCUUCGGGAACCUCAGGGUAAAUCAAGAACUACACAUAGUACAUCUAACGCCCCAGUUCGUACGACGAAACCAGUGCUUCUUGCCCCUUCAUAAGUGUACCCCACUUCUCAGACCUCCUGCGGAACCGGUACCUAGUGCUCUUCUAAUACGAGCGGGUUUGAAUCAGUUAAGUAAUCGCCAAAGGUUGCACCUAAAGCAACGAACACCCCUCAAGGUAUGGACACGACACUGUUGUCGACCCCUUGACAUAUGGACCCCUCUACCUUGCGUGUUAUAACCCGAAAACCCGGUACCAUGACUGUAUUCGGUGACCUAAGGAUUUUCCUAAAGUCCUCGUGACCUGCCAGACGUUCAACGAAUACAAAGAACACCUUGGACCGUAUGUCGGAACUAGUGUUGUUAGCCAGUCAAUAAAUGGAAACCACUACCAUGAAAACCUCAAAAUCCGGUACCUUUGGCUCUUUCAUAAAGUACAGGCUCCCUCCAGCUCAGAAAUAGCCCCGACUCUUGUUAACGACAGCGGACACCACAUACCGUGUGACGUCGACAACAUCUUCAAUAUCACUGGGUCAGCUCAAGUUCAAAUAGAAGACCUUUCGAGAAGUGUACCCCUCUACCACUGUUUGUAGCUGAACCAGUACCACUGUUCCUUGGUUCUCAAUUCGGCUGUACACACCGAAGUGAGUAACUAAUGCUAAAAGUGUCCUAUCGUACGCCAGUACCGGAAUGACACCCAGACUGUUGUAGACCUGUCCAAACCUCGUACCCAUUAUGACAAAUACCGGUCGAACCUUUAGUAGCGAGUCUACCAUUCGAGGGUACAAAUCAGCUUCUCUAAUACCCACUUGUCCAACAAGUUCAACGAACACCAAGGAUGGUACAACGUCAAAAUUGUCAAUUCUCACUCCACAAAUGUACCCCUUUUCCUCGGUUACCUUCCAACCCGGUACCUCUAUAUCUGCUGUCCUUUUAUGGAUGCGACCAACUUCGGAAUGCUCUGUCUCCACAAGCCGUGUAAAGGACACCACGCUUGAAGUGUCGCCGGUAUACGGUUGUAUUCAACUACGGUCCUCGCCUCGUCAGUGUUACGUGGAGUACAUCCGUUGGUAAACCCAAAUGGGCCUUCUCCGUAUUAACGGUAUUAACGCCUGUACAGGUAACGUUACGCACGUGAAGCGCUUUCCACAACUCCCGUCGCAACCGAGGGUUAGGACCUUUCGGAAUGGCACAAACACUAAGAACAAAAGACUUUGACUUGUUACGGUAACUGAGGUCACGUUAGUUAUUCUCCUUUCUAUGGCACGGAGCGAUGAGUCCACUUUCGUUAAGACUAUCAUGAUUUAAUCGAUUUCGUUAAUAGGGAUCAUUAAACCUAUACUAAUCUUCAAACCUAUCGUUCCGUCGUUUUGUUCCCUUCUUUUGUCUGCGAGAAAGUAAAGAAGCCAGAGGAGUUUACUCAAGUGAAGAAGUCAACUCCCUAUAACGAAAUAGACCACCCGGACUAGACUCGUCUGGUCAAGGUUCUGGUUGAGCGUGUGGUCGUCAAGCUAGCCAUUUAUGAAGGUCCCGACAGAGGGGAAAGAGAGCAUUCGGAUCAGGUGGUGCAAGAUGGUGUGGUCAAGGCUGUUGAGUACCGGAAAGAUAACGCUUUUCACGAUGACUAUUAGAAUGCUUUUUCUUACUCUACAAUUUAGUCCUUCAACUUUCUGAUGCGCCUGUCCAGCUAUCAGACUCCGUGGCCACACUCCAAGUUCUUGAACUCGAUGUCUUCAGACGGUUCUUUCAUGUUCUCCGGUACUGCGACCAACGUCUCCUCAGACGCUUCAGGUUUCGACGUUUCCUUCAGUAUUUUCGGGAUUGUCGUGUCGAGUUCCUGUACCGACUUUCUGACGGAGGUCUACUACCGUUGCUACGUUUCGUCAGUGUCAAAGGUUUGCCUUAGCUCAGAGUACGAAGGUAAAUGAGAUCGUACCUAAACCUAAGUCAAGUGGUCAGUGCCUUACUCAGAUAGUUACGUAAUUUGUACGGAUCGGACGUGUGCCCUGCUAGGAACGUGGGUUUACCUUAGAGUCCAGUCGUCUCUAGCGGCCCACAAUUACUUUUGUUACUUCACUCACGAGUGUCUGUGUCCCAAAGUUCGGGGGUACUGCCACGUGAAAGCUUAGCUUCUCGUGUGUCGUCAUCACUACUGAACAAGCGGAGCUCGGCGUCUCGCCGACUAUCACGAUCGUACCUAUGAUACAGGGAGGUUUUGCCGCUCCUACCAAUGUCUAGAGCUCCAUGCAACAGUGACAGGUCAUGGCUUCAAUUCCGGCUUACCUAACUUGUCAUACUUGUUCCACAUAUGUAUUGUGACUGCUGCGAAGAACUGCCCUGAGCCCUAGACUUCUCCCAUGCGAAGUCGGCUUCUGCCAAGCCGCUCGUAGUUCGCCUCUCGACCACCUUGCUCUUGGUACUGUUCCAGAUGCUCGCCAUGCCGCACUCCUCGAGGCUCGCUCACAGCAGCCGGCGCAGCUGGGCCAGUCGGGCCACUGGACUCCUGGCUGGACGAGACGGGGCCGUAGGUAGCCUCUAGUGUACUCGAAGGUCCAUAACGGCUACUUAGCAACAGAACAAAGGCAGCUCCGUCCGUCCGUCUCCGUAUGUCCCCGAAACAUCACGACGGGACUACAUUACAUUUAUAUCUCCACUGUUAAUAAUCACACCCUUUCUCCUACACAAGUAGUCUCGGACCUUAGUGAGGAGAAAGGGGUUAAGACAUCGGUUAAGCACAACAUUUUAGGCGUCUUUAAGAAGCCAGUAGCAGACGCCCUCAAAGAGGCAACGUAGGCAGACAAACACGCGCGACUGCACCGCAGCUCGUCUCGAUUAUAUGUACUACUACUACUACUACUAACACAACACCACGUU
This 3581-nucleotide ribosomal RNA is filed under the name Triticum aestivum (bread wheat). RNAcentral describes it as "partial small subunit ribosomal RNA". The record is from RNAcentral. Lineage: Eukaryota; Viridiplantae; Streptophyta; Magnoliopsida; Poales; Poaceae.